This 1201-nucleotide long non-coding RNA is filed under the name Sinocyclocheilus anshuiensis. Its description in RNAcentral is "lncRNA (ENSSANG00000022477.1)". The record is from RNAcentral. Lineage: Eukaryota; Metazoa; Chordata; Actinopteri; Cypriniformes; Cyprinidae.
UGCUAAUGAGGUGCAGGGCGACAGGUGGCCCGCUAGACAGCUCAAUUAAGCAGCUCGUUAAAGGCCAAGCUAACGAAGCGGCCUGCACUGCAAGCCUCAACAAACAAUGUGACUGUGCAGGCUACAAAUUGGUUUCCUGAACACUCUCCCUGUCUUCCAUUGUUUGGAAAACAUAUAGCCCUGACCAUGUGUUGCUGUAUUUGGCUCAUCAGGAUGCAGAACAAUGUUUUGAUAGCACCACAAGGCCAAGGUGGAUCAACCAUAUGCCCAUGGACAUGCACACUCAAUGACAAAGGCGGAUACCAACAGGCCCUCUCUGACACAAAGCGCCGAGGGGCUGAGGGAGGCGGGCAAGACGAGGGGUGCAUCUUAACCUGAGACAUCCCUCACACAAGAGGAGUGCAAUGGAGUUAACUACUGUAGCAGAGGGCAAAUGAAGUUCAGCUGAGGUGAAGGGGUGAGACAACGUCAAAGAAGGAACAACGGAGAGAGAUCGAGAGACGUUGUCUAAUGAAGGAAUGCACAGAGAGAUGGAAACUAAUGGAGACAAAGGAUGUACAGAGUGAGAAGGAGAGGGAGAGAGAUGGCGAUGGGGUGGCUGACUGCUGUUGAACUCAUCCUCAUCUUAAUUGAUGAGGUCAUCCUGGGGAUAUCCCAAAACUAGAGUGUCCCCGGGAGGUCAUCACCAGGUCAUCCAAAAGUCAAAGUGCAUCGGAGAGAGAUGACGUAGCAUAUAACUUUUCUUUGUGUUUCUGUUGUCGUUGUUGUUUUUGUUUGUUUAUGGGCUUUUUGCCUUUAAUUGUAAGGAUAGUGUAGACUAGGCAGAAAAGUGGAGAGAGACCACGAUUUUCUAGGCCGAUAUGGCUAGGAACUAUACUUCCAUUCCGGCAUAAUAAUCAAGGAACUUUGCUGCCGUACCAUGGCAGUGCCUGAAAAUAGGCUUAUUGGAAGUUACCUAGCUGGGGACUAUUUUCAGGCGCUGCGUAAUAUCAUUGCGCCUGCUGCACCCAUGGUACGGCAGCAAAGUUCCUUGAUUCCUUGAUUGGUGUCUUAGUACACAAUGUAACUACAGAAGAGCCAAGUUUUAAAUAGGAAAAAUAUAGAAACUCUUUGGUCAUUUUUGAGCGAGAUGCUAACGGUCUAAUAAGAUUCAAUGAUCUAUGCUAAGCUGCAGCUAAAAGUGCUACCGCCAGGCCCGGAG